Molecule: long non-coding RNA, 1517 nt
Filed under: Malus domestica (apple)
Lineage: Eukaryota; Viridiplantae; Streptophyta; Magnoliopsida; Rosales; Rosaceae
Description: long non-coding RNA (MDOM_LNC008909)
Source: RNAcentral
ACGAUUAUUGGAGAUUGUUUUGGUUAGAAGAUGGUUAUAGAUUUUUGAUUUACUUUAUCUUCUGGUUCAAAUAUGAUGCCCAGUGAUGGGAGAAUUGAAAACCUAAACAGUGGUAAGCGUGGUUGAUUUUUCAUUAGCCCGUACUUACCACAAGCACCACCUCUCUCUCUCACUACAACAAACAACAACCAAGCCUUAUCCCACUAUACGUGGGAUUGGCUGGAUGAAUCAUUGAACGCCAUUACGCUGGGUUUUGUGCCAAGUCUUCCGUUAUCUCUGUCUCUCAUACAUAUAAAUAUAUACAUACAUUCACACAUACAUACGUUGGUGGUGCAUGGUGGAGUACGAAGGCUUUUGAGGAACGCCACUAGCCGUGAACUGUAUAUGACUCGUUCAAAGGUGUGAGAUCUGAGGGCACGAACCUUUGAAGUAGUGAUGCUUGUCAAGUUAUUUUUCAAGGUUAGAGCACGAGCCUUUGGUGUAGUAAUGUUGUGCUAAUGAUGAGUUAUACUCUGUAUCUAGCCUUUCUUUUUCUUGAAUUAUUUUGGAUCAUUACCAUGUUCUCUGAUAUAGUUUUUUUGCUGCUUCUGAAAGGUUUAUUUGCCUAAUGAUGGAAAACUCAUUUAUGGAGCGGUUCUGUGGAUUGUUAUUAGGAGCCUUUUCUAUCAUUUUCCUAUACUAGUCGCCGUCAUCAUCAACACCACCAUUCUUCUCUCUCUCUCUCUCUCUCUCUCUCUUCUCUCUCUCUUCUCUCUCCCUCUCUGGCUUGUAUGGUUGAAGAUGUGAAGAGGUUCAUAGUGAUAAUCCACAGUUAACUAGCAAUGACCAGAUAUAGCUAUGAGAUCUGAAGGCUCUUCAGUUUUUUGCCUUUUUUUAUUUAAGAUAUGCUUGUUGAAUUUUAAAUUAUUUUUGUUCCCUUAGUUAUUUAUAUAGGUCAUUGCAGCAUUGUAGACAUUAUUUUAGUUUAACUGGAGCACUUUUGGCAUUGCAGUAUUUGAUUACUAUAAAUGUACUGUUACUUUUGUAUUGAUUUCAAAUUUUCUGUUAAUAGAAAACCAAAGAGCACUUUCGGCAUUGCAGUAUUUUUGUAUAUAAUGCGAGCUCCCUUCAGACUCAAACCUGCUUGUACAUUGUUACAUAUAAAGCUAAUAAACUGUCGUUUGGAAAAAAAUUCACUCUUUCAUUGUUACUGAGUGCUUUUAUUUCCUACAAAGCUAUUAUUGUAGAUUGUUUUUGUUGAAAGAUGGUUAUACAUUUUGAUUAACUUUAUCUUCUGGUUCAAAUAUGAUGCCCAGUGAUGGAAAGUUGAAAACCUAAAUAGUGGUAAGGGUGGUUGAUUCUUCAUUAUCCCGUACUAACCACAAGCACCACCUCUCUCUCUCUCUCUCUCUCUCUCUCUCUCUCUCUAAUAUAUAUACAUACAUACAUACACACACAUACGUUGGUGCUGCAUUGUGGAGUAUGAAGGCUUUUGAGGAACGCCAUUGCCCAUGAACUGGAAAUGACUUAUUGCUAUG